Molecule: ribosomal RNA, 253 nt
Filed under: uncultured bacterium
Lineage: Bacteria
Description: partial 16S ribosomal RNA
Rfam family: Bacterial small subunit ribosomal RNA
Source: RNAcentral
UACGUAGGUGGCAAGCGUUAUCCGGAUUUAUUGGGCGUAAAGGGAACGCAGGCGGUCUUUUAAGUCUGAUGUGAAAGCCUUCGGCUUAACCGGAGUAGUGCAUUGGAGACUGGGAGAUUUGAGUGCAGAAGAGGAGAGUGGAACUCCAUGUGUAGCGGUGAAAUGCGUAGAUAUAUGGAAGAACACCAGUGGCGAAAGCGGCUCUCUGGUCUGUAACUGACGCUGAGGUUCGAAAGCGUGGGUAGCAAACAGG